GACGAACGCUGGCGGCGUGCUUAACACAUGCAAGUCGAACGGUGAAGCGCCUUCCUUUUUGGUUGGGGUGGAGGAGUGGCGAACGGGUGAGUAACACGGGAGUAACCUGCCCCCUUCUUCUGGAUAACCGCAUGAAAGUGUUGCUAAUACGGGAUAUUCUGGUUCUUUCGCAUGAUGGGUCUGGGAAAGAUAUUGUUUCGGUGGGGGAUGGGCUCGCGUCCUAUCAGCUUGCUGGUGGGGUGAUGGCCUACCAAGGCGGUGACGGGUAGCCGGCCUGAGAGGGUGGGCGGCCAGACUGGGACGGAGACACGGCACAGACGCAUACGGGAGGCAGCAGUGGGGAAUAUUGCAGAAGGGGCGCAAGACUGAUGCAGAGACGCCGCGUGAGGGAUGGAGGCCUUCGGGUUGUGAACCUCUUUCGCCAGUGAAGCAGGCCUGCCUCGUUUGUGGGUGGGUUGACGGUAGCUGGAGAAGAAGCGCCGGCUAACUACGUG
RNAcentral lists this ribosomal RNA (494 nucleotides) under uncultured bacterium. RNAcentral's name for it is "partial 16S ribosomal RNA". It matches the Rfam family "Bacterial small subunit ribosomal RNA", at positions 28 to 507 of the family's 1533-position model. The record is from RNAcentral.